GUGAGUUUCACUUUGGACCAGAGUGGGAAAGCUCCAGAAUUCAGCCUCUUAUUAAGUAUGUAUCCAUGACAUCCCAGAAGGCAUUUUUAUGCAAAGUGUCCUAAUGCUGUCAUAUUGAACACUUAAAAGCCUGAUCUCAUCUUAAAAGCUCAAGUUGAACACUUAAAAGCCUGGCCUGAUCUCAUACUGCUGUAACUCCAUCUACUUCAUUAAAAUGGCUCCUGGUCUACAUUGUUGUGAGAGCAAAGCAGACCCACAGGAAUCAUGAAAUGAUAAAAGAGUUCUUUAUAAACUGGCACUGCAGAAGGAUGUGAUGACAUCAGUAAGCAGAAUGACAAAAUGAUUUUACUCCACUUCCUGUGUUAGAGAUACUAUCUAUAUAACCACAGUUGUUAUCCAGGUAUUGCAACUAUGGCCUUGGCUAACAGCAGCAGAAAGUGAAUUAGAUUUGCAAAAAUGAUCAGCAUUUUUGGAGCAUAGCAGCAAUUUGGCAAGUAUUUCAAUUUUCUGUAAUUCUGAAGUUUCUUUAACACCUUUAAAUAUAGGUGAGGCAAAUUGCUGUGAUAACAGAGACAAACCAAACUACAUGCCACUUUGCAAAUUAAUAUUUACAUAUUGCAUUUUAAUUUUCUGAUUAUUACAACUGUCAAAUAACGCUGACAUUUUUCUGCAAGUAUUUGCUCAAAUAAAAUACUGAAUUAGCUCUGUUCUCCUGUAGCUUCUCGGUAAGGCUGUGUAUGUCUGUCAUAGCCACAAUCUCCAUGGAAAUGGUGACAGGGUUGGUUUGUUUGCUUGUUUGUUUGUUUCAGAAAAAGUCCUGGUCCUAGUCACCAGAGUAAGUUCACUACUGAGCAGACUUCCUAUAUGAUUAGUUAUAAAUUUGGUUUUCUACAUGUCUCGUGAAGAGGAUUAUGACACAUAUUGUUGAAGACUGCAAAAUAACUCAACUUUCUGAAGGUUUUCAUGCCUUGAACAUCGUUGUUAAGAACGCUGUGCUUGACUUGACCCUACAGCUCGGGGAUGACCAGAAUCCAAGUACUCGUAACAGAACAGAGAUAUUCAUAGCACUUUACUAAUACUGAGCUAAAUUCUUCCAUCUUUAGACUACUUCUUACACAAGUUCCACUGACUUCAGUGGGACUACUUACAUGAGUAAGAAUCUAGGAGAACCUGGUUCUUUAUUAUUAACAAUGCUAUUUUACUAUUGGCUAUCAAUCAGGUAUUAUGUCUCACAAGUUUGUACAGAAUCCACUUUUUCAUCAACUUACCGGUAAUUACCAUUCCAGCACUAAUGACAAUUACAGUAUUCAAAUGCUUUUUCAAAUUCAGGGCUUUUCCUGUAAUUCUUUCUUUUGAUAUCAUUUUCCCUAUCCUGGGAAAAGCAGUAUUUCUUAAUCUGUCAAAGGGCAGAAAAUCCAACACCGUCUAGUAAACAAACAUGCCCAUACUUGUCUUUCGGAAAGUACUGCAACAGCAUACAGAGCUCAAAUAUUUCAUUCAGCUGCCAUGCAGGUUGUAACAAUCACAGAUUUGCAACCAAUCUACUUACAGCACUAUCCGCCCCAACUGUAUUUAGAUUCUUGCAUACUGCUUAGCAGCUGCACAUACAUUUUUAUUCUAGAAAGCUAGAAGAACAGUGCUAGAAAUGACUACCUGUCAUAACCUAGUAUGUUAGUUUCUCCCUUGAAAACUAAACUACAUACAAUAGUUGAUGCUUCCUAGUUGCUAUAGAGAUAACGUUUUUCUUCCUAAAAAAAACCAACAGAUACAAAGGGCCUGAUUCAAAGUUCAAAAGCUCCCAUUGCCUUCAGUGGGCUUUUGAUUGAUGUCUAAGCUGAACUGAAGCAAAACUAUAUUAAUUGCAAGUAUUCCAGUUUGCUAUUGAUAUACCGGACUAGCCCAAGUCUACAUGCAAUUUUUUUAAACUGACCAGCGGAGUAUUCAUGAAUUAUCCUGAAGGCAAAUGACAAAUGUUUGCCAGUCAUCAUGCAACUUACAUAGGACCAGAAAGGAGUAAUAAGCCCUUCAUGUCAGGAACAGUCUGAGGACAACUCUGCCAUCUAUGUGCCAUAUAAUUUAAUUAGUUCACAAGCAUUCCUACACAAGUAUUUUUGUGGUCAGCAAAUAUUUUCAUAUUUUAAACUUUAAAACUUUUAAUUAAAUUUUUCAUUUUUCAACUGUAUCUUUUUUCAAAGACGAUGACUAAAACUGAAUGCUAUACUCCACAUGCAGACAAACCUAUGUUUUUUGUAAAGCCAUAGCAAAAUCUGCUUGAACUUAUCAAAUAUAUCACACUGUUGAUAGAGUACGUAAAGAUGCUUUUAACAUGCCUAAUUAAACUAUGCUUAGCUUGACCUGAAAGUGUGACUAUGAUUCCGUUCAUUUUCAUCUGCUGUCCCUUUUGUUUUGUAUUAUCAGAAAG
Molecule: long non-coding RNA, 2422 nt
Organism: Trachemys scripta elegans
Lineage: Eukaryota; Metazoa; Chordata; Testudines; Emydidae
Exons: 3
Source: RefSeq, a predicted model, not a curated record